AGAAUUCCCAGCUCUUGGUAGAAAUUUGGACAGGCUGAUGAUCAAAAGUUUGUAACCCUGAGCUUUGCAUGCCAGAGAGGAAUAAAGCAUUCCUUACCCGCCCCCUACCCUAACAGAUCAGAGUGUAUUUGGCACAUCUUGAAAGGCUAGUCUUCCAACUACAGAAACUUUGUACAACACAGUGGAUAUGUUUAGCAGGGCCAGCUUAAAAUUAAUUCUUUUUUUUCCUAUUGAAUUCCAUUAUAGGACCAGGUCUCCAUUCUUAUAAUAGAAAUCAUAUUUAUGAAUAAAAAAUCUUUUAAAGCA
This 306-nucleotide long non-coding RNA is filed under the name Bos taurus (domestic cattle). RNAcentral describes it as "long non-coding RNA NONBTAT012218". The record is from RNAcentral. Lineage: Eukaryota; Metazoa; Chordata; Mammalia; Artiodactyla; Bovidae.